CUCUGGCUGCCCUGGAAGGUCUGGGUCCUUGGCAGGGGGUCAGGAAUCCCCUGGACAGAGCCCCCAGAGACACUAUCUGUGUCCAUGGAAAAGAGUUUUCAAUCUUACAGGAUGCAUUACAAGCUCUGAGUGUUUGAUAUAAGUAAUAAUGUAGUGUGGCACGGGUGCAAAAGUAAAAUUUUAGGAUUCUAGAUAAGGGGUUCAAAGGGGACAAGAUGGAGGAAAUUGGGUGUGUCUUGUCCUUUUCCUCCUUCUUCAUGCCCUCCAUGUUUCACUGUAGUGUUGGCAUUUUUCUGUUGGUUUAGGCUGGGGACACACUGUUCAAUGUCGGUGACAGAUAUUGGCACGUUAUUGUAAAUCCAGCACAGGUAGUUUCUGGUAUUUAAUGUUUGUAACAUCCCACUGAGGGCAGAGCCCCACACGCUGCCCUGCAGGACAGACCUGCGGCAGGGCAGCAGAACAUGUUAGAGAUAAACAGAAUAAACAACCUUGAAAACAGCACAGACAAAUUAUGGCUUCUUCUUUGGCAGCGGGGCAGAAAAACAGACUUUCUACAAUCUCGGAAUCAUCAAUACCUCAGAUUCUGACAAUUUUCUAAUAGAAGCUGCUGGCAGUUUCCUCUGUGUGUGAUAAAAAUCCAGUCAGUAAUUAUCUUUGAGAAUUGACAAUCUGUUGAACCACUGAGAGCUGACAAUCUGUUAAACCACGCCUCAAUGAGUACACGUUAAAGAUGAAAAAACCCCCGGGAAGCUCUCUUUUCCUUCCAGGUAGCCUGCAGCCAGUGCAGAAAGCAGUCCUGCUGCCAAUUCUACACAGCUGCUGAAGAAACCUCCAUCGUGAAACAGCCACCAAGCCCAGCAGGGUCUGUGUGUGACCAUCUGCGGCUCCCAGGUAAUUUAUGAAGAAAAUACAGCAGAGGUUACUGAGGUUCUGGUCAGGAUUAUGGACACUGUUGGCUGCAGCCGUGAUUUGAAAGUUCAGGUGUGUACAGCUCUGUGACCACUCUGCCAGAACAUGGGGAGCAGCAUGUAUUGAGCUCAGGAAAAUUGAAGGAAACAGUUUCAAUAAAGCCUCUUCCACCCUGAACCCUGCAGCUGUGCUGCCUGACAAGGCACAUGGAACAGAAGUCACAUGGGACAGAAUUAUCAAACUGCUCCAUCCUUUCCCUGAACAGGUCACUCACCUUUGUUCUUUCUACCUUCUCCAAGCUCAGCAUGCAAAAAUAAUAGAAAUUUCUAUUUGAAAACUUUACCUUCUGUUGUUU
Molecule: long non-coding RNA, 1264 nt
Filed under: Taeniopygia guttata (zebra finch)
Lineage: Eukaryota; Metazoa; Chordata; Aves; Passeriformes; Estrildidae
Description: lncRNA (ENSTGUG00000027891.1)
Source: RNAcentral